GCCUGCGUGGUUCUGUCGGUUGAGCGUCUGACUUUGGCUCAGGUCAUGAUCUCACGGUUCGUGGGUUCAAGCCCCACCUUGGGCU
This 85-nucleotide transfer RNA is filed under the name Felis catus (domestic cat). It matches the Rfam family "tRNA". Rfam says of the family: Transfer RNA (tRNA) molecules are approximately 80 nucleotides in length. Their secondary structure includes four short double-helical elements and three loops (D, anti-codon, and T loops). Lineage: Eukaryota; Metazoa; Chordata; Mammalia; Carnivora; Felidae. The record is from Rfam by way of RNAcentral.